This is a non-coding RNA of Oryctolagus cuniculus (rabbit), 2682 nucleotides long. Lineage: Eukaryota; Metazoa; Chordata; Mammalia; Lagomorpha; Leporidae. The record is from RefSeq and is a predicted model, not a curated record.
UUUGGGGACUCAUUUCUACUAAUAAGUGUCAGUGUGCUGGUGAGAUAAACCUGCCACAUUAGAUGGCAGUCCUUUGCAGAAAUAACAAACCACAUUGUCUUAUCAUGCAGAGAUGCCCAUAAAAUGAUGAGUAUGCAGUGAUUUCUCCUGAUGAAUGAUUAAGAGCCCUUUCCAGAGUUUCAGCUCUCCACUGGUCUCUGUCUCAAGGCUGUUUUGGGCGAGUUCCAACAAACCAGUCAACAUAUUACUUGUGGUGUUUAUCUUUGGAUGUUUAUGUGUCCUUUUAAAUUUAAUUUGAAAUAAUGUAUAUAUAUUUGGUGUGCAAUAUGAUCUUGUGAUAUUUGUGUGCAUUGCAGACGUAUAUGUUUUUAAAAAUACAUAUUGUUAUUUUAUGUGUGAGUUUGACAUGAUAGUAUUGUGCUAUAGAACUUAUUCAUUUUUUAAUAUCUAGGAACUGUUCAUGUCUAUAUUGUUUCCAAUUAGUGGAUAAUAUCACUUGGUACAUAUUCACCACAAUCACUUUCAGAUUUCCUAGUUAUGGACAUUUGAGUUACCUCCAAGCAGCACCAUUGUGAGUAUGCUGGACCAGUUCCUUUAGUUUUAUACAUAGAGUGGGAUUUCUAUAUCAUCACAUGGACAAGAAUUAUUCUAGAAAAAGGCAGUUGUCAGCAGUACAUGAACUUUCAUGUUUCCAAGUUUCUAAAUUUUAUAAUCUCUUGGCAUUAAAAAGAAUAUCAUAAUUAUUUUAAUUUAUUUUUCUCUGAUGUUUAGUGAGGCUAAUAUCUCUACAUAUUAAAAUUUUAUGCUGUCAAUGCGUAUCAUUUUUAAAAUUUCUUGACUUUUUUCCUUUUAUAAGAAUUCCAUCUAUAUUUUCAAUACUAACCCUUUGUCAGUUUUAAAUAUUUUCAACUAUUUUCCAUUAAUCAGUCAUUCACAUUUUAACUUCAUUUAUGAUAUGUUUUUUGGCCAAAAAAUUACCAUGAAUUUAACAAAUACACAUCAUGUUUUCAACAUGACACCUUGGUUCUUGGAGUUUUAUUUAAUUUCUUCCACAUAGACAUUUAGGAAGAUAUUGUUUUAAAAAACUUUUUAUAUGUUUUCCCUGAUCGACGACAACUAACUGAGCACCAAAGGGGAAACCUGUUGAAGUGAAAUGGACACUAUGAGAAACUGUGACUUGAUCAGCUCUUGUUCUGACUGUUGAUGUACAAUGUAAUACUUUAUCCAUUUUAGUAUUUUCUCUUUGUUUUGUUCUAGUACUAUUGGUUGAACUCUGUAAUUAACACACAAUUAUUCUUAGGUGUUUAAAUUUUAACUGAAAAGUGAUCCCUGUUAAAUAUAAGAGUGGGAAUAGAGAGGGAGGAGAUGUACAAUUUGGGACAUGCUCAAUUGGACUUGCCCCAAAUGGUGGAGUUAGAAUCGUGCCAGGGGAUCCCAAUACAAUCAAGGUGGCAUGUACCAAUGCCAUCUCACUAGUCCAAGUGAUCAAUUUCAGUUCACAAUUGAUCACACUGAUAGGUCUAAGAGUCAAAGGGAUCACACAAACAAGACUAGUGUUUGCUAAUACUAACUGAUAGAAUCAAAAAGGGAGAGAAUGAUCCAUCAUGGGAAGCGGGAUACACAGCAGACUCGUAGAAUGGCAGAUGCCCUAAACAGCACUCUGGCCUCAGAAUCAUCCCUUAAGGCAUUCGGAUCUGGCUGAAGAGCCCAUGAGAGUAUUUUAGGCAUGGAAAGCCAAGACACCCUGAAAAAAAAAAAAAAAAAAGAAGACCUAAAUGAAAGAUCUCUGUGAGUGAGAUCCCAGUGGAAAGAAUGGGGCCAUCAAGGAAGGAGGUACCUUUCUCUGAAGGGAAGAGAGAACUUCCACUUUGACUAUGACCCUGUCGGAAUAAGAUCGAACGCAGCAAACUCAAAAAGCUUCCAUAGCCUUGGCAACUCAUGACAAGAGCCUAGGUGUGGGGAGCAACUCGGACUAUACUAAGUUACUGGAAUUAAGACUUAUUCUAUGCAUCUGCUCUCCCACAAUAUGGCGCUGGGAGAGGAGGAAACAACUUCUACACAGCUGCCUCCAGUUCGACCAAUAACCUGCAGGAGCUGAUCCUGCUCCUGAUUGGAGGAGAGCAGCGUACUCGGCGUGUGGGUAGCAGAGUUGGGAUUGUUGGAAGAGGACUAUAAAGGAGGAGAGAGACAACAUGCACCAGGAACAUCUAAGGGAAACAUCCGGAUAACAUCUGAGCAGCCCCCGAGAGAGCCGGCCAGCGGUGUGCCGCUCGCCCGCGGAAGUGGAGAAAGUGGCAGGGGGAGCCGCCCUUCCAUGGAGGUGGGAGGGUCGGCAGCCAACCCGGGAAGAACCAGCAGCAAACCCGGGAAGGGCCGAGCAGACGAAAGAACAGCGCAGGGUCCUGUGUCGUUCCUCCGCGAAUGGGGGAGCGACACCUAGGGAGAUUACUGACGCCAUAAACAAGAGUGUCAAAUUGUUAAGUCAACAACAGGAGUCACUGUGUACUUACUCCUCAUGUGGAACCUGUCCUUAAUGUGUUGUCCAAUGUGAAGUAAUGCUAUAACUAGUACUGAAACAGUAUUUUGCACUUUGUUCUUCUGUGUGGGUGCAAACUGAUGAAAUCUUUACUUAAUACGUACUAAAUUGAUCUUUUGUAUAUAAAGAUAAUUGAAAAUGAAUCU